Long non-coding RNA from Carassius auratus (goldfish), 1312 nucleotides. RefSeq lists it as uncharacterized. The record is from RefSeq and is a predicted model, not a curated record. NCBI's taxonomy places the organism in Eukaryota, Metazoa, Chordata, Actinopteri, Cypriniformes, Cyprinidae. The transcript is spliced from 3 exons.
AUUACUUAUAAAAGUAAAUAUAUUAAACACAAAAAACUAAGUAUUUAUAACUUUUCAAUGUCUACUUAACAUAUAUAGUUUAUGUAACACAAAAAUAUGAGUUACAAAGUGAACUUAAGUGUAUGCAUAAAUACAACGAAAGAAAAUAAGUAAUGACAACUACUAGUACAAUUAUGUUAAAAUUAAGUAAAUAUAGCAUAAAAUUUUAAGUAUUUGACUGUGAGCCAGUGAUAUGCUGUUUCCUGCCAAGGAGCCAUUUUGUGAAGCACAUGUGAAGACGGUGAGAAGAGACCAGCCCUGUGGAACAACGUAAAGGAGUUGUAAAUCUAUGCUUAACUGUCUGCAUCUCUGAGAAUAUCAUCAAGCACCAUCAGAUACUCAUGGGAAUAAGGAGAAACUGGAACUGCUCACACUUAAAAUCAUCAUGAAAGGUGGCUCAACAGAUGAUCCAUUACAGACUGGGAUAGUGCUGGAAGGCAUAGAGGUGAUGAUGGGAUUGGCAGGUGUUGCAAAGGCUUGUGUUUUUCUGCUUGGCCUAAUUUAUGCAAUUAAUCUGAGUUACCCCAAAGAGAUCAAUGUGCAAUGUUUGUCUGCAACUGUUCGAUUAAAUUCUUGAUUUAUUCUUAGGUUGUUUGUCGCGUGUUCCAAAAGUAAAUGUUAGAAAAAUUGUUGCAAAGGGUGAAAAAAAAUCUAUUGCAAACUUAAUCUCUGUGUUACAAACAAAACAUAAAAGAAAGAAAGAAAAUGAUUUUUUUGUCUAGUUUAAUUAGGAAUUUUGUACAAAAGUAAAUGUUUGAAAAAUGUAAACCCUUUAAGAAGUGUUGCAAAGGGUGAAAAAUCAAGAAAAUAACAUGUUGGAAAUUAAGCUACAUUUGUAUAUUUGUCACAUUUUGUUGUAAAUUCAUGAUGUGUGGUUUUAGGCUUCACCUUCACAGCAGCCUAUCAAAAAAAUAAACUGAAAUGCUUUAUUUUGUGUAAUUUGCUUGUUUAAUUUAUUUAAGUUGCGAUGGCUAAGCAGACCAAUAGCUGAAGAUCUAAAAUCAGUUUAAAUGCUUAGUUGGUUCAACUCAAUUUUUUCAAUAUAAAUUAGUUUAAAUGUUAAGUUAACACAAUUUGAGAUUACUUGGUAGAUUAUAUAUUGUAGAAUAUUUUAAGUAAAGAACGUUGAGUCAACUCAAAUAAUUCAGUUCAUAUAACAAAGAUUAUCUUGUUUAUUUUAAGUAAAAUUGUUCCAAGUUAGGUUUACUUAAAAAGUGUGUUGCAAAAAUGGUGCAUAUAUAUUUUAAGUAAAUCCAACACAUCAUUUUUACCA